UGAGUAAUAUAUCGGAACGUGCCCAGUCGGUGGGGAUAACGUAGCGAAAGUUACGCUAAUACCGCAUACGAUCUAAGGAUGAAAGCGGGGAUCGCAAGACCUCGCGCGAUUGGAGCGGCCGAUAUCAGAUUAGGUAGUUGGUGAGGUAAAGGCUCACCAAGCCGACGAUCUGUAGCUGGUCUGAGAGGACGACCAGCCACACUGGAACUGAGACACGGUCCAGACUCCUACGGGAGGCAGCAGUGGGAAUUUUGGACAAUGGACGCAAGUCUGAUCCAGCAAUGCCGCGUGCAGGAUGAAGGCCUUCGGGUUGUAAACUGCUUUUGUACGGAACGAAACGGUGAGCUCUAAUACAGUUUGCUAAUGACGGUACCGUAAGAAUAAGCACCGGCUAACUACGUG
RNAcentral lists this ribosomal RNA (402 nucleotides) under uncultured bacterium. RNAcentral's name for it is "bacterial SSU rRNA". It matches the Rfam family "Bacterial small subunit ribosomal RNA", at positions 107 to 507 of the family's 1533-position model. The record is from RNAcentral.